RNAcentral lists this ribosomal RNA (240 nucleotides) under uncultured Lactobacillus sp. Its description in RNAcentral is "partial 16S ribosomal RNA". It matches the Rfam family "Bacterial small subunit ribosomal RNA", at positions 122 to 355 of the family's 1533-position model. The record is from RNAcentral. Lineage: Bacteria; Bacillati; Bacillota; Bacilli; Lactobacillales; Lactobacillaceae.
UAACCUGCCCAAGAGAUCGGGAUAACACCUGGAAACAGAUGCUAAUACCGGAUAACAACAGAUGAUGCCUAUCAACUGUUUAAAAGAUGGUUCUGCUAUCACUCUUGGAUGGACCUGCGGUGCAUUAGCUAGUUGGUAGGGUAACGGCCUACCAAGGCGAUGAUGCAUAGCCGAGUUGAGAUACUGAUCGGCCACAUUGGGACUGAGACACGGCCCAAACUCCUACGGGAGGCAGCAGUU